Triticum aestivum (bread wheat) is the source of this 183-nucleotide non-coding RNA. NCBI's taxonomy places the organism in Eukaryota, Viridiplantae, Streptophyta, Magnoliopsida, Poales, Poaceae. The record is from Rfam.
AUCCAAGUGAGGAUUCUUAGACCAUAUGAAGUGUCGUAUGACAAUGUAAACAAUAACCGCUUCCCUCCACUGCAAGUGUCCACCUUCGGCCAUAACCUUUGUGGUUUGGUUUGGGCUAAAAUCUCCUUUUGCACCUGGUUUUGUUCAGCUGUGUGCAUGACUUUAACCGGUUCUCUGAGCGGU